AUGAGAGGCCAAGGCCCUCUUUCUCUGCUGUUCUCUGGGCUCUACCUAGUUCUAUUUGUUGACUCCCUCUUCAGACUCGUAGCAGGACUGAUGAAGUUCCAGGAAUCAUAUCCAGGCCUUGAAAUAGAUAAAGGCUUUUAUAGAUUUCUCAUGUCUUUUUUUUUCUUUUUCUUUUUUUUUAGGAAUAGAGAAAUCUUUCCCCGAAAUACCAUAUUAGAGGUUUCCUUACAACCCAUUGUCCAGAAUCGGAUUUCAUGCCAUGACAGAGACCUCUAGUUGCUUCUAAAUAUCUUUUCUCCCCAUUUCCUUUAGUAAUAUUAUCAUGAUUUUUAUCAGAGCUUAUGACUAGUCAUUUAAAUUUAAAUNNNNNNNNNNNNNNUUCCAUGUAAAUGUAAAUAAAAAUGUUAUGUAGAACUUGUGGGAAGUAUUUUUUAAAAGGAAGACAGCAUCCUCUUUUAUCUUUCGUUCUGAUUUCUAUAAUGUAGACAUGAUGGCUGAAACUUUCACAUUCACCUUGGACCAUGAUGACAAAGACAUACUCAAAAAACUGGAAGAAGCCUGGGUCCCUGAUGAUUUCAGAGACCUGCCCUUAAGGAGCAUUGGACUACCUGCCUCCAGAUAGGUGAGAAAGUAAGACCUGUGUUUUUAGUUAAUUGUUAAUUUGGGUUUGCAUUGACUUCUGGUGAAUCUAAUACUGACUAGGACGCAUGCCCAUUCCCAAUCAGUCACUGGCAAGAGGAACUGUCACCACCUGACUGGGGGCAAAUGGAUUGGGGAGGGGUCAUAAUAAUCACCACAGUAAAUACUACUUAAAAAUAUAUCAAGUACUUCUGCUAGAAACAGAGUACUAUAAGAAAGCAGUAUUCUCAAUGUCUACAUAAGAAGCCACCUUAUUGUAAGUACUUUAUCAUCUUAGUUACAAAACUUAGAUGAUUAUUUCCUAGAAAGUUCAGAAGAAUCUUCAGUCCAGUCCAGUCUCUAAGUUGUGUCCGACUCUUUGUGACCCCUGGAUUAUAGCACUCCAAGCUUCCCAGAGCUUGUUUAAACUCAUGUCGGUUGAGUGGGUGAUGCCAUCUAACCCCCUCAUCCUCUGUCAUCCCUUUUUCCUCUUGCCUUCAAUCUUUUCCAGCAUCAGGGUCUUUUCCAAUGAGUUGGCUUGUCUCGUCAGGUGGCCAAAGUAUUGAAUGGAGCUUCAGCAUCAGUCCUUCCAAUGAAUAUUCUGGGUUGAUUUCUUU
RNAcentral lists this long non-coding RNA (1235 nucleotides) under Capra hircus (goat). RNAcentral's name for it is "lncRNA (ENSCHIG00010021706.1)". The record is from RNAcentral. Lineage: Eukaryota; Metazoa; Chordata; Mammalia; Artiodactyla; Bovidae.